Molecule: long non-coding RNA, 987 nt
Organism: Suricata suricatta (meerkat)
Lineage: Eukaryota; Metazoa; Chordata; Mammalia; Carnivora; Herpestidae
Exons: 3
Source: RefSeq, a predicted model, not a curated record
UGAGUGGAAGAAAGAGGUGCGUCAAGUGUCUCUCCAGCACUCCCCUGCAAGGCCAGUCUACACGGACAUACAGUCCAGUGGGAACUGUAGGCUUUGGCAGCACAAUUUACACUGGCAGAGUGCUGCAUUACAGCAGAGGCAGGCUGAAACAGGUCUCAAGGUAGCCAAGAGUGAGCGUGGUUUCCAGAAAGGGAACUUGCUUCCUAGUAUUUUCAGUUGUUGCAAAUGAUUUGUGACUCAUCCGUUCUCACCAUGUCAUCAGUGUCACUAACUAUGCUAAAAGCAUUUCUGAUUCAUAGUAACAUAACAGUAUCCUGUUUGAUCAUCACAGCAACUCCCCUUCAAACCAUUGCCAUGUUCCAGAAGGAGAGGGCCAUUGAAUCUGAGUCUUCCCACUUCAAUUUCCUCCUCCUCUUAGACUACAAGAUCAAAUAAGGAAAGCUGUCUUUUCCUUCAAGCCUGCCCUAAACGCUUUUAUCCUCAAACUUCGAAUUUACCACCUGAAGCCUUCAUAUCUAUUCUCUGGAAAUGUCUAAAAUGAGCCUGUGGGAGCAGUUAAUAUAAAAAUAUCACUAAAACAUUUAAUAUCUAUGUCAAUGAUGAGAAAAAUAGAAUUUGAAAGUCUCCCAAAAGGUUAAGCCUGAACAAACGCUGGGGUGUUUUUCAGUUUCAAAAUAAUCUGAAGCGGUUUGGGACAUCCUUGCAGACCGCAUUUUAGAAGAAGCCCUAAGACAUUUGUGCACUGACAAGCCAGCUGGAGAGCCAGAGACUUCAGCAGCAAGAGCGGCAGUCGCCUUGUGCUAGGGGUCUAGGACCCCUAGGGCUUGAGCUUCACAAAAGCACCCGGAAAUCUGUGAGACCGGAGCUGGGGAAACUCAUUGGUUUAAAAUAUGACCAAAUAACUCCAAGAUGGAAAUUAUGAAUAAUUUCAAAACCACAUUUAAAAACCCAUCUUUUUUUGUAGCAGUAAAAUCAUACUUAAGAGGA